Molecule: ribosomal RNA, 300 nt
Filed under: uncultured Methanosarcina sp.
Lineage: Archaea; Methanobacteriati; Methanobacteriota; Methanomicrobia; Methanosarcinales; Methanosarcinaceae
Description: bacterial SSU rRNA
Rfam family: Bacterial small subunit ribosomal RNA
Source: RNAcentral
GCUAACUCCGUGCCCGAGGCCGCGGUAAUACGGAGGAUCUAAGCGUUAUCCGGAAUCAUUGGGUUUAAAGGGUCCGUAUGCGGGUUAGUAAGUCAGUGGUGAAAGCCCAUCGCUCAACGGUGGAACGGCCAUUGUUACUGCUAUACUUGAAUUAUUAGGAAGUAACUAGAAUAUGUAGUGUAGCGGUGAAAUGCUUAGAGAUUACAUGGAAUACCAAUUGCGAAGGCAGGUUACUACUAAUGGAUUGACGCUGAUGGACGAAAGCGUGGGUAGCGAACAGGAUUAGAUACCCGGGUAGUC